GAUGAACGCUGGCGGCGUGCCUAAUACAUGCAAGUCGAGCGAACAGAUGAGGAGCUUGCUCCUCUGACGUUAGCGGCGGACGGGUGAGUAACACGUGGAUAACCUACCUAUAAGACUGGGAUAACUUCGGGAAACCGGAGCUAAUACCGGAUAAUAUAUUGAACCGCAUGGUUCAAUAGUGAAAGACGGUUUUGCUGUCACUUAUAGAUGUAUCCGCGCCGCAUUAGCUAGUUGGUAAGGUAACGGCUUACCAAGGCAACGAUGCGUAGCCGACCUGAGAGGGUGAUCGGCCACACGGGAACUGAGACACGGUCCAGACUCCUACGGGAGGCAGCAGUAGGGAAUCUUCCGCAAUGGGCGAAAGCCUGACGGAGCAACGCCGCGUGAGUGAUGAAGGUCUUCGGAUCUUAAAACUCUGUUAUUAGGGAAGAACAAAUGUGUAAGUAACUAUGCACGUCUUGACGGUACCUAAUCAGAAAGCCACGGCUAACUACGUG
RNAcentral lists this ribosomal RNA (497 nucleotides) under uncultured bacterium. RNAcentral describes it as "partial 16S ribosomal RNA". It matches the Rfam family "Bacterial small subunit ribosomal RNA", at positions 28 to 507 of the family's 1533-position model. The record is from RNAcentral.